Molecule: long non-coding RNA, 2409 nt
Organism: Boleophthalmus pectinirostris (great blue-spotted mudskipper)
Lineage: Eukaryota; Metazoa; Chordata; Actinopteri; Gobiiformes; Gobiidae
Exons: 5
Source: RefSeq, a predicted model, not a curated record
UUUGAAGGCGUCACAUUCAUGACUUGAUGCGGCUCCAUAAUUAUGACAUCAUUCUAUUUUGUCCACAACAAAAAGUCUCCAAAUAAACAGAAAAUAUAAAAGGAGAGAAAAAAGUGACAGAGUCAGGAGGAAGACGAGCCUCGACUCUUGGAGACGUCAAAUGUGACUUUACAAAUGUUUCAAAGUGUCAGAACAAAAGAAUCCAGUGUGAAAAUGUUCACACUUGAACAGAGUGAAUCCACAUGUGAAAAUCCAACAGACAGUGUGACGUUGCACAGGUCAAAGUGCACAGUUCACAUUUGUGUGUUUCCAGAGUUUGUGUGGAGUCCAGACUGAAGCUCGGCCUCUGAGAUGUGCACAAACACCGGACACUCUCAGCUUCACUCACAACACCAACUCUCAAUGUUUGACACAACAAACUCUUCACACUCCGUCUUGUUGGGAUCAGACUGAAGUCUUCACUUGUGAUGUGGCUGUGACUUGGUUUUCUUGUAUUUUGUGACUCUGUGGUGAACAGUUUGUGUUCUGUUCUUUCUCUUUCAGACCUGAAGGGGGCAGCGACGUCAGAGAUCGAUCAAAAGACCUUUUUAAUAAACUUCAAAAAGCCACGUUUAACACCUGAAGGGGGCAGCGACGUCAGAGAUCGAUCAAAAAGUCUUUUAUAACCUUCAAAAAGCCACGUUUACCAAAACGUGGCCUCAGAUCCAAGAAGGUCCCGUCCAGAGGAAACGCUCCACCUGCAGCAAACGUGACCACGCCCACAUCUGCAUUUACUCCACCCACUCUCUCACUGACCCCGCCCACUCUCUCACUGGCCCCGCCCACUCCUUCAUUGGCCCCGUCUACUCCAUCAUUGACCCCGCCCACUCCCUCAUUGGUCCCGCCCACUCCCUCAUUGGCCCCACCUCCAUCAUUGACCCCGCCCACUCCCUCACUGGCCCGCCCACUCCCUCAUUGGCCCCACCUACUCCAUCAUUGACCCCGCCCACUCCCUCAUUGGCCCCACCUACUCCAUCAUUGCCCCCGCCCACUCCCUCAUUGGCUCCGCCCACUUCCUCAUUGGCUCCACCCUCCGUCACAAUCAGGAGUCAAGUCGAGGUCUUUGAGGAGGACGACCGUCGAGUGAACUGAAGAACCUUGUUAUUCUCUGUGGUCACGGAGAUACAAAGAGGAGUUACUGAGGUCUUUCAUCAUCAGGUAAAGUCUGAACACACACGACACGAUCUGAGUCCAAAUGUUUAACUGGACACAACUGGACUGAACAAAAGCUCUGGUUUAUGGCUCUGAUCCUGAUUCGGAGUAAAACUCUCUUAAAUAAAGUGUUGUGGUGUUGGUGCUGUCAGUGUUAUUCACUUUAACUCCAGCUCUUCAAAGAGCCUCAUUUCCACAUCUCACACAAAAAUCUAAUGAUCCACUUUGUUUAUGUGAGAUUCAGUUUGUCUGAUUAUUCUGAGUCCAGAAACACUCGUGUCCGUCUGAUCUCAUCUUUAUUUAUGACACAAAUCAACUUUUAUCAAAUUUUAGAAUUUAGAUUUUUUCACCAGAGUCACAUGACCUGACUCUAGUGACCUGAGUCUGAAUCUGUCUGUGAGUCACUGUAGGGGGCGCUACAGAGCAGUCAAGGUGUGAGCUCUUCAAAUGUAUUUAUUUUAUGUCUUUAUUUAAGAAAAGGGAACAGUGCAUUUUAAUGAACAUUUAUGCUCUUAGACUGAAGUGACAAUAAAUAAAACAUAAAAACACCAUUUACAGCAGAAGUCUUCAACAGGAGAGUCACAAAAUCUUUGCUUGAUUAUUAUUAUUAUUAUUAUUAUUAUUAUUAUUAUUAUUAUAUAUAUGAUAUAUAUUCUUUUUGAAGGAUGAGGAUGAACUGGUUUUCAGUGUGCGCUGUGGCUCUUCUCUCAUUUAAUCAUAUAAUCAUUUUUAUCAUUUAAAAAAGUCACACUUUGAGUCCAUUUUCCAUGAUGUCGUUGCUCUGUUGCUCUGGUUUUCUCAGCGUCACCGUGAGCACAAAGAGCAGCUUCAACUCCAGGUCUGACUUUUACUUUCACUUAGUUUUGGCUGAGUUUGUUUUAUCUUAUUUCUGUCAUGGAACAAGUCGAGGUUUAAGUUGGACAUGGAGCUGGUUUCAGCUCAGGAUUUCAGGAUAAACCUGGACUUGUUAAGUGACUUUGAUGAAAACCUCCAGUAUUAAAAGUACAAUAACAGAGCAGCUGUUUGUACACGACUCUAAGUCCAGUUUAAUAUAAAACACAGUUGUGUGUCAUAUAAAUACUCGGGGGUCCCUGCUCCAGCUCUCCAUCAGUUUGGGGUCCCUGUCCUGAAAAAGGUUGAAGACCCUGAUUUCCAGAGACAUGUGCAGACAGGGGGCAGCACAGAGCAGUGAUCACAGACUCAUGUCACAGUGUCAUG